CCUACGGGAGGCAGCAGUGGGGAAUAUUGCGCAAUGGGCGAAAGCCUGACGCAGCGACGCCGCGUGAGGGAUGAAGGUCUUCGGAGCGGAAACCUCUGUCAGCAGGGAAGAACGGUCACGGUGCUAAUCAGCAGUGAAUUGACGGUACCAGCAAAGGAAGCACCGGCUAACUCCGUGCCAGCAGCCGCGGUAAUACGGAGGGGGCGAGUGUUAAGCGGAAUUACUGGGCGUAAAGCGCUCGUAGGCGGUAUGUCAAGUCAAGGGUGAAAUCCCCGCGCUCAACGUGGGAACUGCCUGUGAAACUGGCAGACUGGAGUGUGUGAGAGGAUAGUGGAAUUCCAGGUGUAGGAGUGAAAUCCGUAGAUAUCUGGAGGAACAUCAGUGGCGAAGGCGACUAUCUGGCACAUAACUGACGCUGAGGAGCGAAAGCGUGGGUAGCAAACAGGAUUAGAUACCCCUGUAGUC
This 465-nucleotide ribosomal RNA is filed under the name uncultured bacterium. RNAcentral's name for it is "partial 16S ribosomal RNA". It matches the Rfam family "Bacterial small subunit ribosomal RNA", at positions 338 to 795 of the family's 1533-position model. The record is from RNAcentral.